This 540-nucleotide long non-coding RNA is filed under the name Homo sapiens (human). RNAcentral's name for it is "non-protein coding LINC01678:21". The record is from RNAcentral. Lineage: Eukaryota; Metazoa; Chordata; Mammalia; Primates; Hominidae.
GUACAGCCCGCCUCGGUCUCUGGGGUGCUAGAUACACUCUGCCUGGAGCCCAGGAGCCCUCACCUCAGUCGGCGCUGCAGAACCAGCCCAGGAGAGCAGCUGGCCUGUCAUCUGCUGAGGAGCGGAGGCGUGCGGGGAUCCGGAGGGGAAGGGGGUCUGGAGUGCUCCGGGGGAGACCCUCAGGGACUGCCCUGCUGCUGGCAGCGCCUGGGCCCACGGCUGAUGGAGGCGUCUCCUGGCCCCCAGGGCUGUGCCCAGGACUGCAAUGGCCUCCCACACUACCUCACUACCCUGGUCCAGGCUCACUGACAGAUGAGGAAACUGAGGCAGGGGCCCCGGUCUCACGGCCAUUGGUGCAGAGCUGGGAUCCACGACCAGAUUCUACCAAUUAAAAAAAGGAAAUGUGGGCCGGGCGUGGUGGCUCAUGCCUGUGAUCCCAGCACUUUGGGAGGCCGAGGCAGGUGGAUCACCCAAGGUCAGGAGUUCAAGAGCAGCCUGGCCAACAGGGUGAAAUCCCAUCUCUCCUAAAAAAACAAAACA